AUGCUUGUCGGUACAAACAAACAUGUUCUCUAUGAUUUGGUCUACAUGCUUAUCAAAUUGGUAUUGAUCUUACCGGUGGCCACAGCGAGUGUUGAAAGAGUAUUUUCGGCGAUGAAUCUAGUGAAAAAUAAGUUGAGAAAUAGUAUGAGUGAUGAUCUCAUGAACAACUGUUUAGUAACAUUCAUUGAGCGAGACGUGUUCUUGAAAGUAAGCGAGGAAGAUAUAGUUGAAGAUUUUAUGGCAAUGGAACGUCGUAGAGUUACUUAG
This 267-nucleotide ribosomal RNA is filed under the name Triticum aestivum (bread wheat). RNAcentral describes it as "partial small subunit ribosomal RNA". Lineage: Eukaryota; Viridiplantae; Streptophyta; Magnoliopsida; Poales; Poaceae. The record is from RNAcentral.